ACCUGAGGUCGUCCUCAUAUGGUACAAACGUCCUCGGCAGUUUCAGGACGUCCUCAUUUGGUCCUCUAGUCGACACUUGCAGGAUUAUCCCCAAAAUGCCCCUUUGAGACCUUUUUAAGGACGAAGAAUUGUCCUGAUAUCGUCUGCUCGAGGACGUUUUGAGGAUAUGCAUGUUUCGUAGGUGCAUGCAGCUUUCGCAAUUCGUGUUUGGUUAAUUUUCUGGCUGUUAACGAAUAAGUCCACGGGAUUUCGUAUGCCUACUUUCGAGUCAUAAUAGUAAAGUACUUCUCGAUCAUUAAAAUGAGAUAGUUACACGAGGAAGCACUUCAAGCCAACACGAGAAAGACGUGUUCUUUUAUUUAUUAUUUAUUUAUUUACUUUGUAAGUGAUCGUAGGCCAAACUUUCUGCCUGCACGUUUUCGUUGGUCGUGAUCUACCGCCGACGUGCAUACGGAAUUAUAUCGCACUGACUGUGGUCUGACCCGUUUCCCCAAUGAACGCACGUGCGGCAGACCAAGUUUGGUGCGAGUAUAAACGGUGUCGGCUCCAAAAUGAAUGCAGGCGUGAAAACUGUGAAUAGCGAGCACGUUAUUCUCGAGUGUCCAGUGUUGCAAUGCCGCACGGUCCCAUCGAGCAGACGACAACUGACCAUGCUGACGACUGGGCUGGCCUAGGUUAUCGUGAAUAGAGCAGCAUUGGAACUAGAACGCUGUGGGAAAACGAAUGGGCGACUGAAGUUGUGGUGGUGCUAACAAAAAAAAAGCAGUACCUUAAUGCGGUCACCAUGCGCAGUCAAGGUGCUUUUAAAUCUGGAUGUCUACGACACUGUUUACCCAUUUUAAAGUGACGCAACUAUCAUCAUCAUCAUUAUGGGCCUGCAGUAAGUCAAGUCGAGUCAUUGGUCGAGUCAACAUUCCAAUACAACACUUCUCGCCAUAGAGGAAGCUUCUCGCAGAAGCCCUCAAAGAAUCGUAAGCAUGCCAGAGGCCGUGAGGCGAAAUUUUCCGGAAACAAAAAAAAAUGACAUCGAGUGUGUGAUUAAAGUGUGGCUUCGGCAUGCUGGGGAAAAGCUCCAGAAGCAGCGCUUAAGAACUUCUCGCACUCACCAUGAGGAAUGUCUUCAAAGUGUCGCGUUGUCAAGCCCAUCGGAUGAAGACCUCUGAAGGCACAGGGCAAGAAGUCUCAUCUAGUGAAAACUGCCAAGUUUCAUUCCUGAAAAUAAACAUGUUUUCUGUGCA
This 1238-nucleotide long non-coding RNA is filed under the name Rhipicephalus microplus (southern cattle tick). RNAcentral's name for it is "uncharacterized LOC119159732, transcript variant X1". Lineage: Eukaryota; Metazoa; Arthropoda; Arachnida; Ixodida; Ixodidae. The record is from RNAcentral.